CUACGUGCCAGCAGCCGCGGUAAUACGUAGGUGGCAAGCGUUGUCCGGAAUUAUUGGGCGUAAAGCGCGCGCAGGCGGAUCAGUUAGUCUGUCUUAAAAGUUCGGGGCUUAACCCCGUGAUGGGAUGGAAACUGCUGAUCUAGAGUAUCGGAGAGGAAAGUGGAAUUCCUAGUGUAGCGGUGAAAUGCGUAGAUAUUAGGGAGAACACCAGUGGCGAAGGCGACUUUCUGGACGAAAACUGACGCUGAGGCGCGAAAGCCAGGGGAGCGAACGGGAUUAGAUACCCCGGUAGUCCUGGCCGUAAACGAUGGGUACUAGGUGUAGGAGGUAUCGACCCCUUCUGUGCCGGAGUUAACGCAAUAAGUACCCCGCCUGGGGAGUACGACCGCAAGGUUGAAACUCAAAGGAAUUGACGGGGGCCCGCACAAGCGGUGGAGUAUGUGGUUUAAUUCGACGCAACGCGAAGAACCUUACCAGGUCUUGACAU
Molecule: ribosomal RNA, 487 nt
Filed under: uncultured bacterium
Lineage: Bacteria
Description: bacterial SSU rRNA
Rfam family: Bacterial small subunit ribosomal RNA
Source: RNAcentral